Molecule: ribosomal RNA, 785 nt
Filed under: uncultured archaeon
Lineage: Archaea
Description: bacterial SSU rRNA
Rfam family: Archaeal small subunit ribosomal RNA
Source: RNAcentral
UUGAUCCUGCGAGGACCCGACUGCUAUCUACAGUGGGACUAAGCCAUGCGAGUCAACAUAGCAAUAUGUGGCAUACGGCUCAGUAACACGUAGUCAACAUGCCCAGGGGACGUGGAUAACCUCGGGAAACUGAGGAUAAACCGCGAUAGGUCAUCACUUCUGGAAUGGGUAAUGACUUAAACCUAUAUGGCCCCUGGAUUGGACUGCGGCCGAUCAGGCUGUUGGUGAGGUAAUGGCCCACCAAACCUGUAACCGGUACGGGCUCUGAGAGGAGGAGCCCGGAGAUGGGCACUGAGACAAGGGCCCAGGCCCUAUGGGGCGCAGCAGGCGCGAAACCUCUGCAAUAGGCGAAAGCUUGACAGGGUUACUCUGAGUGAUUUCCGUUAAGGAGAUCUUUUGGCACCUCUAAAAAUGGUGCAGAAUAAGGGGUGGGCAAGUCUGGUGUCAGCCGCCGCGGUAAUACCAGCACCCCGAGUGGUCGGGACGUUUAUUGGGCCUAAAGCAUCCGUAGCCGGUUCUACAAGUCUUCCGUUAAAUCCACCUGCUUAACAGAUGGGCUGCGGAAGAUACUAUAGAGCUAGGAGGCGGGAGAGGCAAGCGGUACUCGAUGGGUAGGGGUAAAAUCCGUUGAUCCAUUGAAGACCACCAGUGGCGAAGGCGGCUUGCCAGAACGCGCUCGACGGUGAGGGAUGAAAGCUGGGGGAGCAAACCGGAUUAGAUACCCGGGUAGUCCCAGCUGUAAACGAUGCAGACUCGGUGAUGAGUUGGCUUAUUGCUAACUCAGU